GUAAGCAUAUCAAUAAGCGGAGGAAAAGAAACCAACAGGGAUUGCCCUAGUAACGGCGAGUGAAGCGGCAACAGCUCAAAUUUGAAAUCUGGCUCUCUUUGGGGGUCCGAGUUGUAAUUUGCAGAGGAUGCUUUGGCAUUGGCGGCGGUCUAAGUUCCUUGGAACAGGACAUCACAGAGGGUGAGAAUCCCGUACGUGGUCGCCUGCCUUUGCCGUGUAAAGCUCCUUCGACGAGUCGAGUUGUUUGGGAAUGCAGCUCUAAAUGGGAGGUAAAUUUCUUCUAAAGCUAAAUACUGGCCAGAGACCGAUAGCGCACAAGUAGAGUGAUCGAAAGAUGAAAAGUACUUUGGAAAGAGAGUCAAAAAGCACGUGAAAUUGUUGAAAGGGAAGCGCUUGCAGCCAGACUUGCCCGCAGUUGCUCACCUAGGCUUUGGCCUGGGGCACUCUUCUGCGGGCAGGCCAGCAUCAGUUUGGGCGGUUGGAUAAAGGCCUCUGUCACGUAUCUCCCUUCGGGGUGACCUUAUAGGGGAGGCGCAAUGCAACCAGCCCGGACUGAGGUCCGCGCAUCUGCUAGGAUGCUGGCGUAAUGGCUGUAAGCGGCCCGUCUUGAAACACGGACCAAGGAGUCUAACAUCUAUGCGAGUGUUUGGGUGUCAAGCCCGAGCGCGCAAUGAAAGUGAACGGAGGUGGGAACCCUUUGGGUGCACCAUCGACCGAUCCUGAUGUCUUCGGAUGGAUUUGAGUAAGAGCAUAGCUGUUGGGACCCGAAAGAUGGUGAACUAUGCUUGAAUAGGGUGAAGCCAGAGGAAACUCUGGUGGAGGCUCGCAGCGGUUCUGACGUGCAAAUCGAUCGUCAAAUUUGGGCAUAGGGGCGAAAGACUAAUCGAACCAUCUAGUAGCUGGUUCCUGCCGAAUU
This 916-nucleotide ribosomal RNA is filed under the name Paraphaeosphaeria sporulosa. RNAcentral describes it as "eukaryotic LSU rRNA". It matches the Rfam family "Eukaryotic large subunit ribosomal RNA", at positions 34 to 967 of the family's 3401-position model. The record is from RNAcentral. Lineage: Eukaryota; Fungi; Ascomycota; Dothideomycetes; Pleosporales; Didymosphaeriaceae.